This 114-nucleotide small RNA is filed under the name Drosophila willistoni. Its description in RNAcentral is "GK27963". The record is from RNAcentral. Lineage: Eukaryota; Metazoa; Arthropoda; Insecta; Diptera; Drosophilidae.
UGUUGAAUUUUUCAAUUCUCACUUGGUAAGGGCCUAGAAGUUUUAGAGUGCGUCAUUGCGGCUGAGUGGUCUUCAUUGGAGUAGCAGGUUUAGGUUUUCUAAUUGGGCGAGCAG